RNAcentral lists this transfer RNA (74 nucleotides) under marine gamma proteobacterium HTCC2143. It matches the Rfam family "tRNA". From Rfam's summary of the family: Transfer RNA (tRNA) molecules are approximately 80 nucleotides in length. Their secondary structure includes four short double-helical elements and three loops (D, anti-codon, and T loops). The record is from Rfam by way of RNAcentral. Lineage: Bacteria; Pseudomonadati; Pseudomonadota; Gammaproteobacteria; Cellvibrionales; Spongiibacteraceae.
CGGACAUUGGCGCAGCCUGGUAGCGCACUUCGUUCGGGAGGAAGGGGGCGCAGGUUCAAAGUCUGCAUGCCUGA